RNAcentral lists this ribosomal RNA (458 nucleotides) under uncultured bacterium. RNAcentral describes it as "bacterial SSU rRNA". It matches the Rfam family "Bacterial small subunit ribosomal RNA", at positions 29 to 506 of the family's 1533-position model. The record is from RNAcentral.
GUGAACGCUGGCGGCGUGCCUAACACAUGCAAGUCGAACGAUGAUAGAGAGCUUGCUCUCUUGAUUAGUGGCGGACGGGUGAGUAUACCAUAGAUAAUGUACCUCUUAGUUCGGGAUAGCCACUGGAAACGGUGAUUAAUACCGGAUACUACUUCUUCCUCUUAGGUAAGUCGGGAAAGUUUUUUCGCUAAGAGAUCAGUCUAUGUCCUAUCAGCUAGUUGGUGAGGUAAUGGCUCACCAAGGCUAUGCCGGGUAUCUGGUGUGAGAGGAUGAGCAGACACACUGGAACUGAGACACGGUCCAGACUCCUACGGGAGGCAGCAGUGAGGAAUAUUGCACAAUGGAGGAAACUCUGAUGCAGCAACGCCGCGUGGAGGAUGACGCAUUUCGGUGUGUAAACUCCUUUUAAGAGGGAAGAUAAUGACGGUACCUCAUGAAUAAGCACCGGCUAACUCCGU